Molecule: ribosomal RNA, 460 nt
Filed under: uncultured bacterium
Lineage: Bacteria
Description: partial 16S ribosomal RNA
Rfam family: Bacterial small subunit ribosomal RNA
Source: RNAcentral
CCUACGGGUGACUGCAGUGAGGAAUAUUGGUCAAUGGACGACACUCUGAACCAGCCAAGUAGCGUGAAGGAUGACUGCCCUAUGGGUUGUAAACUUCUUUUAUGUGGGAAUAAAAUGUUUCACGUGUGGCUUUUUGCAUGUACCAUAUGAAUAAGGACCGGCUAAUUCCGUGCCAGCAGCCGCGGUAAUACGGAGGGUCCGAGCGUUAUCCGGAUUUAUUGGGUUUAAAGGGAGCGUAGGUGGAUUCUUAAGUGAGUUGUGAAAGUUUGCGGCUCAACCGUAACAUUGCAGCUGAAACUGGCAGUCGUGAGUACAGUAGAGGUAGGCGGAAUUCGUGGUGUAGCGGUGAAAUGCUUAGAUAUCACGAAGAACUCCGAUUGCGAAGGCAGCUCACUGGAGUGUAACUGACGCUGAGGCUCGAAGGUGUGGGUAUCGAACAGGAUUAGAUACCCCUGUAGUC